RNAcentral lists this ribosomal RNA (1413 nucleotides) under uncultured bacterium. Its description in RNAcentral is "16S ribosomal RNA". It matches the Rfam family "Bacterial small subunit ribosomal RNA". The record is from RNAcentral.
CUUACACAUGCAGUCGAACGGAAACGAUACUAGCUUGCUAGUAGGCGUCGAGUGGCGGACGGGUGAGUAACGCGUAGGAAUCUGCCUGAUAGUGGGGGAUAGCCCGAAGAAAUUCGGAUUAAUACCGCAUAAUCUAUUCGUAGUAAAGUGGGGGACUUUCGAGCCUCACGCUAUCAGAUGAGCCUGCGUAAGAUUAGCUUGUUGGUAGGGUAAAAGCCUACCAAGGCGACGAUCUUUAGCUGGUCUGAGAGGAUGAUCAGCCACAUCGGGACUGAGACACGGCCCGAACUCCUACGGGAGGCAGCAGUGGGGAAUAUUGGACAAUGGGGGCAACCCUGAUCCAGCAAUACCGCGUGUGUGAAGAAGGCCUGAGGGUUGUAAAGCACUUUCAAUUGUGAAGAAAAGUUAGCGGUUAAUAACCGUUAGCCUUGACGUUAACUUUAGAAGAAGCACCGGCUAACUCCGUGCCAGCAGCCGCGGUAAUACGGAGGGUGCAAGCGUUAAUCGGAAUUACUGGGCGUAAAGCGUGCGUAGGCGGUUUAUUAAGUCAGAUGUGAAAGCCCCGGGCUUAACCUGGGAACUGCAUUUGAAACUGGUCAACUAGAGUAUGGUAGAGGAAAGUGGAAUUUCUGGUGUAGCGGUGAAAUGCGUAGAUAUCAGAAGGAACAUCAAUGGCGAAGGCAGCUUUCUGGACCAAUACUGACGCUGAGGUACGAAAGCGUGGGUAGCAAACAGGAUUAGAUACCCUGGUAGUCCACGCCGUAAACGAUGAUAACUAGCCGUUGGGGGGAUUUACCCUUUAGUGGCGAAGCUAACGCGUUAAGUUAUCCGCCUGGGGAGUACGGCCGCAAGGUUAAAACUCAAAGGAAUUGACGGGGACCCGCACAAGCGGUGGAGCAUGUGGUUUAAUUCGAUGCAACGCGAAGAACCUUACCUGGUCUUGACAUCCUGCGAACUUUCUAGAAAUAGAUUGGUGCCUUCGGGAACGCAGUGACAGGUGCUGCAUGGCUGUCGUCAGCUCGUGUCGUGAGAUGUUGGGUUAAGUCCCGUAACGAGCGCAACCCCUAUCCUUAUUUGCCAGCACAUCAUGGUGGGAACUAUAAGGAGACUGCCGGUGAUAAACCGGAGGAAGGCGGGGACGACGUCAAGUCAUCAUGGCCCUUACGACCAGGGCUACACACGUGCUACAAUGGGAAGGACAAAGAGCCGCGAAGCCGCGAGGUGUAGCUAAUCUCAUAAACCUUUUCGUAGUCCGGAUUGGAGUCUGCAACUCGACUCCAUGAAGUCGGAAUCGCUAGUAAUCGUAGAUCAGAAUGCUACGGUGAAUACGUUCCCGGGUCUUGUACACACCGCCCGUCAUACCAUGGGAGUGGGUUGCACCAGAAGUGGCUAGUCUAACUUUAUGAGGACGGU